Molecule: RNase P RNA, 318 nt
Filed under: Acidilobus saccharovorans 345-15
Lineage: Archaea; Thermoproteati; Thermoproteota; Thermoprotei; Acidilobales; Acidilobaceae
Description: Archaeal RNase P
Rfam family: Archaeal RNase P
About the family: Ribonuclease P (RNase P) is a ubiquitous endoribonuclease, found in archaea, bacteria and eukarya as well as chloroplasts and mitochondria. Its best characterised activity is the generation of mature 5'-ends of tRNAs by cleaving the 5'-leader elements of precursor-tRNAs.
Source: Rfam by way of RNAcentral
AGGCCGAGGCUGGCGGCCACGGGCCCGAGAGGGCCUGAGGAAACACCGCCCUCCCAGCGGCAGCCGGACCCCGCAAGGGGCCAGGGCAGGCCCCUGGGCAACGGCACAGAGACGACACGGCCCCCACGGCAUGGCGAUGACUCCGCGAGGCGGGCCUGGCGACAGGCCCGCAGUAACCGGUCGAGGACCGCGGGGGAUGCGGUGAAACGGCCGUCCCCGGCGGAGCAAGGCCAGGGCCUGUGAGGGGCCGCGGGAGGCCCUGGAGACCGCUGAGUCAAAUGCCGCCGAAGUACAGAAGGCGGGUUAUAGCCUCGGCCU